RNAcentral lists this ribosomal RNA (244 nucleotides) under uncultured bacterium. Its description in RNAcentral is "partial 16S ribosomal RNA". It matches the Rfam family "Bacterial small subunit ribosomal RNA", at positions 335 to 575 of the family's 1533-position model. The record is from RNAcentral.
ACUCCUACGGGAGGCAGCAGUAGGGAAUAUUGGACAAUGGGCGGAAGCCUGAUCCAGCCAUGCCGCGUGCAGGAAGACGGCCCUCUGGGUUGUAAACUGCUUUUAUAUGGGAAGAAAAUGGGCUUUGCGAAAGCACAUUGACGGUACCAUAGGAAUAAGCCACGGCUAACUACGUGCCAGCAGCCGCGGUAAUACGUAGGUGGCGAGCGUUAUCCGGAUUUAUUGGGUUUAAAGGGUGCGUAGG